This 484-nucleotide ribosomal RNA is filed under the name uncultured bacterium. RNAcentral's name for it is "partial 16S ribosomal RNA". It matches the Rfam family "Bacterial small subunit ribosomal RNA", at positions 28 to 523 of the family's 1533-position model. The record is from RNAcentral.
GACGAACGCUGGCGGCGUGCUUAACACAUGCAAGUCGAACGAGAACGGGUUAUAGCUUGCUAUAAUUGUCAGCUAAGUGGCGCACGGGUGAGUAAUGUAUAGGUAAUAUGCCUCUUACUAAGGGAGAACAAAUGGAAACGUUUGCUAAUACCUUAUACUCCUUAUUAACAGAAGUUAAUAAGGGAAAGAUUUAUUGGUAAGAGAUUAGCCUGUAUUGUAUCAGUUAGUUGGUGGGGUAAUGGCUUACCAAGACUAUGACACAUAACUGGUUUGAGAGGAUGAUCAGUCACACUGGAACUGAGACACGGUCCAGACUCCUACGGGAGGCAGCAGUGGGGAAUAUUGCACAAUGGACGAAAGUCUGAUGCAGCAACGCCGCGUGGAGGAUGACACAUAUCGGUGCGUAAACUCCUUUUAUAUGAGAAGAUAAUGACGGUAUUAUAUGAAUAAGCACCGGCUAACUCCGUGCCAGCCGCCGCAGUAA